AAAAAGACAAACCCUGGGUUUCCGUGUCCAACGUUUGACCGUCCAUCUUAUUUGAAAAAAUUAUGAAAAAAAAUUAAAAAGAUAAGUCACGCAUAAAGUAUUAAUCAUGUUUUAUCAUAUAACAGCAAUAAAAAUACUGAUUAUAAAAAAAUUUCAUAUAAAACGGACAGUCAAACGUUGGACACGGAAACCCAGGGUUUGUCUUUUU
This 208-nucleotide microRNA precursor is filed under the name Oryza glumipatula. Its description in RNAcentral is "MIR812 microRNA precursor family". It matches the Rfam family "MIR812 microRNA precursor family". Lineage: Eukaryota; Viridiplantae; Streptophyta; Magnoliopsida; Poales; Poaceae. The record is from Rfam by way of RNAcentral.